UAUAGGUUUGGUCCCAGCCUUCCUGUUAACUUUCAAUAGACUUAUACAUGCAAGCAUCCACGCCCCGGUGAGUAACGCCCUUCGAAUCACACAGGACUAAAAGGAGCAGGUAUCAAGCACACACUCUUGUAGCUCACAACGCCUUGCUUAACCACACCCCCACGGGAGACAGCAGUAACAAAAAUUAAGCCAUAAACGAAAGUUUGACUAAGCCAUAUUGAUUAGGGUUGGUAAAUCUCGUGCCAGCCACCGCGGUCAUACGAUUGACCCGAGCUAACAGGAGUACGGCGUAAAGCGUGUUAAAGCAUCAUACUAAAUAGAGUUAAAUUUUAAUUAAACUGUAAAAAGCCAUAAUUAUAACAAAAAUAAAUGACGAAAGUAACCCUACAAUAGCUGAUACACCAUAGCUAAGACCCAAACUGGGAUUAGAUACCCCACUAUGCUUAGCCCUAAACACAAAUAAUUAU
RNAcentral lists this ribosomal RNA (467 nucleotides) under Ovis aries (sheep). RNAcentral describes it as "partial 12S ribosomal RNA". Lineage: Eukaryota; Metazoa; Chordata; Mammalia; Artiodactyla; Bovidae. The record is from RNAcentral.